GUGACGAAGCCGCGCUUCGAACUUCCCACCGCGCACCGGUGGGAUCCUUCGACCCCGCAGGGGCACCCGGAGAGGAGGUGUAGGAGCCGCGCGCGGGGCUGAGAGGGGAGAAGGAAGGAGCAGGGGAGAAAAACAAAGGGCUACCCACGAGGGAGGGGCUUGCUACUAUCCACAUUGCACACAGAAGGAAACCAGGGUCUUCUCAGAGGUGGAAGAACUUGCCCAAGGAAAUGCUGUUACAGGUGAAUGUGCUCAGCUGCCUCAGUCCUGUCCAACGCUUUGUGACCCCAUGGACUGCAUCCCCCAGGCUCCUCUGUUCAUGGGAUUCUUCAGGCAAGAAUACUGGAGUG
This is a long non-coding RNA of Capra hircus (goat), 350 nucleotides long. RefSeq lists it as uncharacterized. The transcript has 3 exons. The record is from RefSeq and is a predicted model, not a curated record. Lineage: Eukaryota; Metazoa; Chordata; Mammalia; Artiodactyla; Bovidae.